RNAcentral lists this ribosomal RNA (182 nucleotides) under uncultured bacterium. RNAcentral describes it as "partial 16S ribosomal RNA". It matches the Rfam family "Bacterial small subunit ribosomal RNA", at positions 1321 to 1500 of the family's 1533-position model. The record is from RNAcentral.
UGAAGCUGGAAUCGCUAGUAAUCGCGAAUCAGAAUGUCGCGGUGAAUACGUUCCCGGGUCUUGUACACACCGCCCGUCACACCAUGGGAGUCUGUAACACCCAAAGCCGGUGGGAUAACCUUUAUAGGAGUCAGCCGUCUAAGGUAGGACAGAUGAUUAGGGUGAAGUCGUAACAAGGUAAC